GUGUAAAUGCCCUUAAGUCGACUGCGCUUUAGAAUCACUUGGGGAUCAUCUAAAAAAUACCAAUUCCUGGGGCCAACCCCUAGGGAGUCUGAUUUCACUGGUCUGAGGCCACGCCUCCUCAUCCACACCGUUUAAAAAGCUUCCCAAGCCAGGCAACAACUGAGCUGAGCGUCUGGACCUGAACCGCCCUGCAGGGAAAGGCAACGGAAGCUCUUGCUAGGGUAGCAACUAUGAGCUCAAAUCCACCGUCCCCCUCCCCGACUUCAGGACUCCAGGUUGUGGUUCGAACCCGCCUUUGGCAGCUCCUUCAAACGGGAACCAGCCCCAUCACUUUGUAACGUUCGGCGUUGGCGCAGGGGUCUGCAGCUUCCGCCUGCCCGAAACUUGGUGCUGGCUGACCCUGAAGGCGGCCCUGUGAGAGGGAGGCAAGAGAGCGAGCUGAUCCGGGCACCGCACAGGCGGAGGCCGAGACUCUGUCAGGAGUGGAGUGGAAAUAUCACAGAAGGAAAAGUACCCAAGAGCAGAAACCCCAUUCUUCCCCUCCUGGAGGCCGCAGUGAAGAGGAAACACUGGGCUGUAAAGCAGAAAAUUAGCCCUGAGCUAACAUCUGCCACCAAUCCUCCUCUUUUUGCUGAGGAAGACUGGCCCUGAGCUAACAUCUGUGCCCAUCUUCCUCUAUGUUAUAUGUGGGACACCUACCACAGCAUGGCUUGACAAGAAGUGCCAUCAUGUCUGCACCCGGGAUCUGAACCGGCAAACCCUGGGCCACGGAAGUGGAACAUGCGCACUUAAUUGCUGUGCCACCGGGCCGGCCCCAGUUAUUUCAUUUUCUGAUCUUAUUUUAAUUGCUAAAAUUUCCAAGACUGUGUUAAAUAAAAAUAGCAAUGGUGACAAAGCAGUCUAGUUUCUGAUUUUAAUAGAAAUGGUUAUAGUGUUUUAUCACUUAGGAUAGUAUUCAGUUUUAUUUUUUGUUAAUUAGUCUUUAUUAUAUUUAUUUAUUUCUAUUUUUAUCUUGCAUUUUUAAUAAAGGUUAAGUGAUGUUUCAUCACGACCUUUAAGCAUCUGCUUUUUCCCUUUUAAUCUGCUCAUUAUGUUAAUAGACUUCCUGAUAUUCAUGCACACUUUCACAAAAGUACUGUUUUAUUGUUUUUAAUUUGUUCUGCUUUUUUAUAUUACUCCUUUGACAUGUUGCUGGAUUUUAUUUGUUAAGGUUUUAUUUAGAAUUUGUAUAUUUCUAUACACAUACGAGAUUGAUCCAAAACUUUAUUGUUUGGAAUGAUUUUCUGAAUUUGGUAUAAAAGUUAUGCAGUAUUCAUAAAAUAAAUUGGAGAGGGUUUCAUCUUUUUCCAAUGACUGGAAUAUUUCAAAUGACAUUGGAGUAACUUGUGCUUAAGAGGUUAGAUAAAGCUCAGCUAUGAAGCCAUCUGGUUCUGAUAUUUUGUCCAGUGGUAGAUUCUAAUUACCUUCCAAUAUCUGUUAUGGUAACUGGUUUAUUCAAGCUCUCUUCUUUUAAUUGAGCCUUCUAAUUUUGAUUUUGCUAGAAAAUCAUUCUUUUCUUCUAGAUUUUAAAAUGUUUGCAAUAGAG
Long non-coding RNA from Equus caballus (horse), 1585 nucleotides. The record is from Ensembl. Lineage: Eukaryota; Metazoa; Chordata; Mammalia; Perissodactyla; Equidae.